Leptopilina heterotoma is the source of this 652-nucleotide long non-coding RNA. RefSeq lists it as uncharacterized. NCBI's taxonomy places the organism in Eukaryota, Metazoa, Arthropoda, Insecta, Hymenoptera, Figitidae. The transcript has 3 exons. The record is from RefSeq and is a predicted model, not a curated record.
AGUCACGAUCCACAUGGAAUAGAAGAAGAAGGAGGGGGGUGAUUUCGGUGUUUCAAAAUGACGCAUGCGUUUUCGGACGCGCAAAAGGGAUGUCUGAAGAGGGGGGGUUAAAAGCCACGAUAGUCCAACGUAUCGCAGUUCUAUUCCGAUGUUUGUCCGCCUGGUAUCAUCAGAAACGAUUCGUCGAGAAAACGCAACCACGAGGUCGACGGGACAAUUUUCUCGUGCAUACAUUACCCCACAAUCAACAUAAAUAUAGUCUCUCGUGAUGGGACAUUUCUGUCAUCGUUAUAUUGUCAAGAAAAUAAUAUUCCAAAAAAUUGUUUUCAAUCUACUUUUCAUAAAAAGAUUGGAAAAAGAAAAAGUGGGAAGAUUAAAGAGCAGAGGAAUUUAUUUGAUAUUCAAUUUAUUACGAGGGUGAGAUUCAAGAAGCUGUGAAUGGCAACAGAGAAAUUUAGGGGAAGACAGGUAGGUGGAAGUUUCCUCCUGAUCUCCCUUCAAUGCCAAAUCAAGGUAUCGCCCGAACGGUUAUAUCGACUUUCGGUUAAUAUAUUGAGAAAACUUUUAUUUCAAAUAACAUUUAUGAGAUUAUAGAUAAUAUUCAAUUCAUAUCACUUAAUUUAACAGUUUUCAUAAUAAAAUAAAUUCUCAA